Molecule: ribosomal RNA, 253 nt
Filed under: uncultured bacterium
Lineage: Bacteria
Description: partial 16S ribosomal RNA
Rfam family: Bacterial small subunit ribosomal RNA
Source: RNAcentral
UACGUAGGGGGCGAGCGUUAUCCGGAAUUACUGGGUUUAAAGGGUGCGUAGGCGGCUAAGUAAGUCAGGAGUGAAAGUUUGCGGCUCAACCGUAAAAUUGCUUUUGAUACUGCAUAGCUAGAAUUAGGAUGAGGUCAGCGGAAUGUGGCAUGUAGCGGUGAAAUGCAUAGAUAUGCCAUAGAACACCAAUUGCGAAGGCAGCUGGCUAGACCUGGAUUGACGCUGAGGCACGAAAGCGUGGGGAGCGAACAGG